UACAGAGGGUGCGAGCGUUGUUCGGAAUUAUUGGGCGUAAAGGGCGCGUAGGCGGUGCGGUAAGUCACCUGUGAAAUCUCCUGGCUUAACUGGGAGCCUGCAGGCGAAACUACCGUGCUGGAGUGUGGGAGAGGUGCGUGGAAUUCCCGGUGUAGCGGUGAAAUGCGUAGAUAUCAGGAGGAACACCGGUGGCGAAGGCGGGUCUCUGGGCCGAUACUGACGCUGAGGAGCGAAAGCGUGGGGAGCGAACAGG
Molecule: ribosomal RNA, 253 nt
Filed under: uncultured bacterium
Lineage: Bacteria
Description: partial 16S ribosomal RNA
Rfam family: Bacterial small subunit ribosomal RNA
Source: RNAcentral